CAUAAAAUGACUCUCGGCAACGGAUAUCUCGGCUCUCGCAUCGAUGAAGAACGUAGCGAAAUGCGAUACUUGGUGUGAAUUGCAGAAUCCCGUGAACCAUCGAGUCUUUGAACGCAAGUUGCGCCCGAAACCAUUAGGUUGAGGGCACGUCUGCCUGGGUGUCACA
Molecule: ribosomal RNA, 166 nt
Filed under: Lotus arenarius
Lineage: Eukaryota; Viridiplantae; Streptophyta; Magnoliopsida; Fabales; Fabaceae
Also listed under: 1 other name
Description: 5.8S ribosomal RNA
Rfam family: 5.8S ribosomal RNA
About the family: 5.8S ribosomal RNA (5.8S rRNA) is a component of the large subunit of the eukaryotic ribosome. It is transcribed by RNA polymerase I as part of the 45S precursor that also contains 18S and 28S rRNA.
Source: RNAcentral